CGCCUACGGGACGCAGCAGUGGGGAAUAUUGCACAAUGGGGGAAACCCUGAUGCAGCAACGCCGCGUGAGUGAAGAAGUAUUUCGGUAUGUAAAGCUCUAUAAGCAGGGAAGAGAAUGACGGUACCUGACUAAGAAGCCCCGGCUAACUACGUGCCAGCAGCCGCGGUAAUACGUAGGGGGCGAGCGUUAUCCGGAUUUACUGGGUGUAAAGGGAGCGUAGACGGUUCUGCAAGUCUGAAGUGAAAGCCCGUGGCUUA
This 258-nucleotide ribosomal RNA is filed under the name uncultured bacterium. RNAcentral describes it as "partial 16S ribosomal RNA". It matches the Rfam family "Bacterial small subunit ribosomal RNA", at positions 336 to 611 of the family's 1533-position model. The record is from RNAcentral.